UGGGGAAUUUUGGACAAUGGGCGAAAGCCUGAUCCAGCAAUGCCGCGUGUGUGAAGAAGGCCUUCGGGUUGUAAAGCACUUUUGUCCGGAAAGAAAUCCUUGGCUCUAAUACAGUCGGGGGAUGACGGUACCGGAAGAAUAAGCACCGGCUAACUACGUGCUAGCAGCCGCGGUAAUACGUAGGGUGCAAGCGUUAAUCGGAAUUACUGGGCGUAAAGCGUGCGCAGGCGGUUUGCUAAGACCGAUGUGAAAUCCCCGGGCUCAACCUGGGAACUGCAUUGGUGACUGGCAGGCUAGAGUAUGGCAGAGGGGGGUAGAAUUCCACGUGUAGCAGUGAAAUGCGUAGAGAUGUGGAGGAAUACCGAUGGCGAAGGCAGCCCCCUGGGCCAAAUACUGACGCUCAUGCACGAAAGCGUGGGGAGCAAACAGGAUUAGAUACCCUGGUAGUCCACGCCCUAAACGAUGUCAACUAGUUGUUGGGGAUUCAUUUCCUUAGUAACGUAGCUAACGCGUGAAGUUGACCGCCUGGGGAGUACGGUCGCAAGAUUAAAACUCAAAUGAAUUGACGGGGUCAUAGCUGUUUCCU
This 586-nucleotide ribosomal RNA is filed under the name uncultured bacterium. Its description in RNAcentral is "partial 16S ribosomal RNA". It matches the Rfam family "Bacterial small subunit ribosomal RNA", at positions 355 to 1375 of the family's 1533-position model. The record is from RNAcentral.